ACAGUAUCGUUCAGAGUUUGAUCCUGGCUCAGGACGAACGCUGGCGGCGUGCUUAACACAUGCAAGUCGGACGGAGUUGAGGAGCUUGCUCCUUAACUUAGUGGCGAACGGGUGAGUAACGCGUGAGGAACCUGCCUCUCAUGGGGGACAACAGUUGGAAACGACUGCUAAUACCGCAUAAUGCUAUUGACCGGCAUCGGUUGAUAGCCAAAGAUUUAUUGCUGAGAGAUGGCCUCGCGUCUGAUUAGCUAGUUGGUGGGGUAACGGCCCACCAAGGCGACGAUCAGUAGCCGGACUGAGAGGUUGACCGGCCACAUUGGGACUGAGAUACGGCCCAG
RNAcentral lists this ribosomal RNA (338 nucleotides) under uncultured bacterium. RNAcentral's name for it is "bacterial SSU rRNA". It matches the Rfam family "Bacterial small subunit ribosomal RNA", at positions 1 to 334 of the family's 1533-position model. The record is from RNAcentral.